RNAcentral lists this ribosomal RNA (491 nucleotides) under uncultured bacterium. RNAcentral describes it as "partial 16S ribosomal RNA". It matches the Rfam family "Bacterial small subunit ribosomal RNA", at positions 29 to 506 of the family's 1533-position model. The record is from RNAcentral.
AGUGAACGCUGGCGGUAGGCCUAACACAUGCAAGUCGAACGGCAGCACAGUAAGAGCUUGCUCUUACGGGUGGCGAGUGGCGGACGGGUGAGGAAUACAUCGGAAUCUACUUUUUCGUGGGGGAUAACGUAGGGAAACUUACGCUAAUACCGCAUACGACCUACGGGUGAAAGCAGGGGAUCUUCGGACCUUGCGCGAUUGAAUGAGCCGAUGUCGGAUUAGCUAGUUGGCGGGGUAAAGGCCCACCAAGGCGACGAUCCGUAGCUGGUCUGAGAGGAGGGGCAGCCACACUGGAACUGAGACACGGUCCAGACUCCUACGGGAGGCAGCAGUGGGGAAUAUUGGACAAUGGGCGCAAGCCUGAUCCAGCCAUACCGCGUGGGUGAAGAAGGCCUUCGGGUUGUAAAGCCCUUUUGUUGGGAAAGAAAAGCAGCAGGUUAAUACCCCGCUGUUCUGACGGUACCCAAAGAAUAAGCACCGGCUAACUUCGU